UUUCCGUAGGUGAACCUGCGGAAGGAUCAUUAUUGUAUAACCGAGGUGCGAGGGCUGUCGCUGACCCGAAAGGUCGUGCACGCCCGAGUGCCCUCACACACAUCCAUCUCACCCCUAUGUGCACCACCGCGUGGGUCCCCCUUUGGCUUGUUCGGAGGGGGGCUUACGUGUUCACACAAACUUUGUAUGCAGUGUAUAAUGUAUUUUUUGUUUUUGCGAUCACGCAAUCAAUACAACUUUCAACAACGGAUCUCUUGGGUCUC
RNAcentral lists this unclassified non-coding RNA (263 nucleotides) under plant metagenome. RNAcentral's name for it is "partial contains small subunit ribosomal RNA, internal transcribed spacer 1, and 5.8S ribosomal RNA". The record is from RNAcentral.